Molecule: long non-coding RNA, 1729 nt
Organism: Trifolium pratense (red clover)
Lineage: Eukaryota; Viridiplantae; Streptophyta; Magnoliopsida; Fabales; Fabaceae
Exons: 4
Source: RefSeq, a predicted model, not a curated record
UGAGUGCCUCUGCUUUGUACUACUUGUGUCAUGUGAAAUAAAUUGGUCUUUAUUUUUAACUUAUGUGUUUGUUCCCAAAUAAUUGGUCUUUGAUCAUGUACAGGUUGGACAUUAAGUUUGUGUUUCUUCUAGUGUUGAAGUUGGUGCCAAAGUUUUUUUGUUUCUUCUAGUGCUGAAGUUGGUGCUGAAGUUAUACACGGUGCCAUUGCUGCCGAGCGGAGCGUUUUUUCCUAUGAUGCAAUGGAAUAUUUAUGAGGUCCAGGAGUUACCUUCUGUUUUUAUAGCUUUUCUUGCAUGGAGAUUAUAGCCAAGGUGUUGGAGGAGAGGAUAUGAUUUUGAUUUACGUCUGGAUAUGCUCUCAGAAUUUCACACAAUCAAACUUCUCUUGACUCUUCUUUUACUCAUCAAUAUUUUGUUUUGGAUAAUUUUUUGAUAUAAUUCUUUGUUUGAUAAUCGAGAGAUGUGUUUAUCCAUUUUGCAGUGGACUAUGAAGUUUCGAUGGAAUGCCUUGAUAAAAUGGACAAGAACAUGGAACGAAGGUAAUUUGUGAACGCUGAUUCCUUCUGGUUCUGGUUCUAUCUUUCUUUUGUUUGAUCUUCAUGUUUUUUUUAUUCUUAUUCUUUUCUGGUCUUUUGAUUUGAUUCUGGCUUAGACCGUCAUGCAUGUGAAUUAAAAUAUGACACGCUGUUUUCUGCGGUGUGUUUUGAAACAAUAACAUUCUAAGCAGCCUCAGGUUUAUUUGCUACCAUGUACUUGGGUUGUGAACUAUUUUUAUUUUCAUUUCUAUUCUGAUUGUCUAGUCGAUUUACUUCUUUGUUCUAUGUUUGACUUUUUUAUCUGAAUUCUGACAGUGCAAAAGUUUACAUGAUUCUUGGUGGUCUUCUCUUUGUAAUGUUGAUCUGCGACUUGGUGGUCUUCUCUUUGUAAUGUUGAUCUGCGACUUGGUUUGAAGAAUUAUGCAACUAUUCUUUCUUUCUUCUUGUUUAUUAUUUUACAACCUAUUUUUUCACAGCUUAAUCUUUUUGUAAAUGUAUCAUGUGGUGUUGGCAGAGCAAGUUUUACACGGGUUUGGUGUAUUACAAAAGUCUUCAUCUUUCUCAAUCAUACUACACCUUUUCAAUUCGCCGUCUGAAAUGUAGAAUACUGGAGAUGAGUUUCUUUGUCACUUAGUUCUACUUACCUUAUGUGAACAAAUUAACAAGGACACAUGAACCAUUAUGUUCUGAUGGUCGUGUUAUAUAUUUGCUAGGCUUUAAUUUGGGUUUCUCUUCUCUGAUUGGGCUUUAAUUUGGGUUUCAGGUUGAUGAAUUCCUUACAUUAUAUCCGUUUUAGCAUCUCCACACUUCUCGAUUCCUUUGUGAAAGCUUAGAGAGAGGUUAUCUCAGACUCUCCCUUUUUUAUCUUUGGGAAAUAACUUGGUAUUUUUAAGUUAUAUGUAUUUCGUCCAGUGUUGAAGUUUUUGUGUUUUUGUAUCCGUAACUUUAGUUUUACUCCGUGGUUUUGCACACAACUUCUGGAGUAACUCUUCCCUUCCCAAGGAUUUAGGAAUUUCGGACAACUUGAUUAGGGAGAGAUGAUAUUCUUCUACAGUUAUUUGUCGGUUAUGUUAAUUUUACUUCAUUGUUUUUCUAUUGAUUCUUGUUUACUCUCUCGAUUUACAGGAGAGAAAAAAAUGAAUGUGCAACUAUGGUGGUGAUUAUAAUUGGUUGGGGGGGGGGGGUUGCUUUAA